GAUGAAGAACGUAGCGAAAUGCGAUAAGUAAUGUGAAUUGCAGAAUUCAGUGAAUCAUCGAAUCUUUGAACGCACAUUGCGCCCCUUGGUAUUCCGGCGGGCAUGCCUGUUCGAGCGUCAUUUCAACCCUCAAGCCCCCGGGUUUGGUGUUGGGGAUCGGCUCUGCCUUACGGCGGUGCCGCCCCCGAAAUACAUUGGCGGUCUCGCUGCAGCCUCCAUUGCGUAGUAGCUAACACCUCGCAACUGGAACGCGGCGCGGCCAUGCCGUAAAACCCCAACUUCUGAAUGUUGACCUCGGAUCAGGUAGGAAUACCCGCUGAACUUAAGCAUAUCAAUAAGCGGAGGA
RNAcentral lists this unclassified non-coding RNA (346 nucleotides) under soil metagenome. RNAcentral describes it as "partial contains 5.8S ribosomal RNA, internal transcribed spacer 2, and large subunit ribosomal RNA". The stretch from base 1 to 120 matches the Rfam family "5.8S ribosomal RNA", at positions 35 to 154 of the family's 154-position model. The record is from RNAcentral.